CCCACUCUCAUGUGCGUAGGACCUCAAUGGAUCACCAUUAAAUUUGGCACAGAUCUCUAGAAAAGUUAUCACAUAAAUGUGAGACUUGAUUUUUCUAGAUAUCUGUGCUAAAUUUAAUGGUGAUCCUUUGGGGUCCUACACACAUAAGUGUGGG
This 154-nucleotide microRNA precursor is filed under the name Amborella trichopoda. Its description in RNAcentral is "MIR8565 microRNA precursor family". It matches the Rfam family "MIR8565 microRNA precursor family". Lineage: Eukaryota; Viridiplantae; Streptophyta; Magnoliopsida; Amborellales; Amborellaceae. The record is from Rfam by way of RNAcentral.